AGUGAACGCUGGCGGCAGGCCUAACACAUGCAAGUCGAGCGGCAGCGGGUCCUUCGGGAUGCCGGCGAGCGGCGGACGGGUGAGGAAUGCAUCGGAAUCUGCCCUGUCGUGGGGGAUAACCUCGGGAAACUUAGGCUAAUACCGCAUACGACCCACGGGUGAAAGCGGGGGAUCGCAAGACCUCGCGCGAUAGGAUGAGCCGAUGUCCGAUUAGCUAGUUGGCGGGGUAAAGGCCCACCAAGGCGACGAUCGGUAGCUGGUCUGAGAGGAUGAUCAGCCACACUGGGACUGAGACACGGCCCAGACUCCUACGGGAGGCAGCAGUGGGGAAUAUUGGACAAUGGGCGCAAGCCUGAUCCAGCCAUGCCGCGUGGGUGAAGAAGGCCUUCGGGUUGUAAAGCCCUUUUGUCCGGGAAGAAAUCGUCUGGGCUAAUACCCCGGGCGGAUGACGGUACCGGAAGAAUAAGCACCGGCUAACUUCGUG
RNAcentral lists this ribosomal RNA (484 nucleotides) under uncultured bacterium. RNAcentral describes it as "partial 16S ribosomal RNA". It matches the Rfam family "Bacterial small subunit ribosomal RNA", at positions 30 to 507 of the family's 1533-position model. The record is from RNAcentral.